RNAcentral lists this transfer RNA (76 nucleotides) under Candidatus Nomurabacteria bacterium RIFCSPHIGHO2_01_FULL_36_23. Its description in RNAcentral is "tRNA-Pro". It matches the Rfam family "tRNA". From Rfam's summary of the family: Transfer RNA (tRNA) molecules are approximately 80 nucleotides in length. Their secondary structure includes four short double-helical elements and three loops (D, anti-codon, and T loops). The record is from RNAcentral. Lineage: Bacteria; Candidatus Nomuraibacteriota. RNAcentral also lists the same sequence under 2 other names.
CGGGGCAUAGUGUAACGGCUAACAUACAUGAUUCGGGUUCAUGUGAUUCUGGGUUCGAAUCCCAGUGCCCCGACAA